CCUCGUCAAUAAGUUGCGGGCAAAUAAAGUGGACGUGGGUGUCGAGGGCCGCGGCGGUAACAAUCUUGCCCUCGCCAGCCAUGGCCUCAGUUGACGCACCCACAUACAUCCCAGGUGUAACGCCGUCCAUGACGUCUGGGUUUCCGGCCUUACCAAUACCGACAAUCAUGCUAUUCCUGACACCAAUGUCAGCCUUGUAGACGCCAGUAUAGUCGAUAAUGACAGCGUUGGUGAUUACCAGGUCCAGGCACUGGCGGCGCAGCAAAGGGGUGGUCUGGCCCAUUCCGUCGCGCAG
RNAcentral lists this small RNA (295 nucleotides) under Linderina pennispora. RNAcentral describes it as "5' ureB small RNA". It matches the Rfam family "5' ureB small RNA". Lineage: Eukaryota; Fungi; Kickxellomycota; Kickxellomycetes; Kickxellales; Kickxellaceae. The record is from Rfam by way of RNAcentral.